This 445-nucleotide ribosomal RNA is filed under the name uncultured bacterium. RNAcentral describes it as "partial 16S ribosomal RNA". It matches the Rfam family "Bacterial small subunit ribosomal RNA", at positions 354 to 796 of the family's 1533-position model. The record is from RNAcentral.
GUAGGGAAUAUUGGGCAAUGGAUGCAAGUCUGACCCAGCCAUCCCGCGUGCCGGAAGAAGGCCCUCAGGGUUGUAAACGGCUUUUGACGGUGAAGAAUCGACAGGAUGCGUCCUGUUUUGACGGUAGCCGUUGAAUAAGCACCGGCUAACUCCGUGCCAGCAGCCGCGGUAAUACGGAGGGUGCGAGCGUUGUUCGGAAUCACUGGGCGUAAAGGGAGCGUAGGCGGCGUGGUAAGUCAGAUGUGAAAUCCCGGGGCUCAACCCCGGAACUGCAUCCGAUACUGCCGUGCUAGAGGAUUGGAGAGGUAGCUGGAAUUCUUGGUGUAGCAGUGAAAUGCGUGGAGAUCUGGAGGAAUACCGAUGGCGAAGGCAGCCAUCUGGCCUAAUACUGACACUGAGGUGCGAAAGCAUGGGGAGCAAACAGGAUUAGAUACCCUAGUAGUCC